This 468-nucleotide ribosomal RNA is filed under the name uncultured bacterium. Its description in RNAcentral is "partial 16S ribosomal RNA". It matches the Rfam family "Bacterial small subunit ribosomal RNA", at positions 28 to 507 of the family's 1533-position model. The record is from RNAcentral.
GACGAACGCUGGCGGCGUGCUUAACACAUGCAAGUCGAACGGAAAGGCCCUGCUUUUGUGGGGUGCUCGAGUGGCGAACGGGUGAGUAACACGUGAGUAACCUGCCCUUGACUUUGGGAUAACUUCAGGAAACUGGGGCUAAUACCGGAUAGGAGCUCCUGCUGCAUGGUGGGGGUUGGAAAGUUUCGGCGGUUGGGGAUGGACUCGCGGCUUAUCAGCUUGUUGGUGGGGUAGUGGCUUAGCAAGGCUUUGACGGGUAGCCGGCCUGAGAGGGUGACCGGCAACAUUGGGACUGAGAUACGGCCCAGACUCAUACGGGAGGCAGAAGUGGGGAAUAGUGAAAUAUGGGCGGAAGCCUGAUGCAGAAACGCCGCGUGCGGGAUGAUGGCCUUCGGGUUGUAAACCGAUUUCGCCUGUGACGAAGAGUGAGUGACGGUAAUGGGUAAAGAAGCACCGGCUAACUACGUG